Molecule: long non-coding RNA, 540 nt
Filed under: Elaeis guineensis (African oil palm)
Lineage: Eukaryota; Viridiplantae; Streptophyta; Magnoliopsida; Arecales; Arecaceae
Description: long non-coding RNA (EGUI_LNC017523)
Source: RNAcentral
CCUCUCCACUUUUUAAGAGCUGCCUCUUCCCCCCUCCACUUCUCGUAAAUCACAGGAGUCCUCAAGCUUCAUGAAAUGGGAAUGGACGGAUUCCUACAUGAUUCAAGCAUACAAAUAAAGGAUGAUUUACAGUGUCAUAACUCAUAAUUAUGCAGCAAAUAUGAACUUUGGCCCAUUCCAUCUCUCCAUCUUCUCUUGAUUACUCUUCUCCUCCUGACAUUAGUAUAAAUGCAGCACAAAAUCCUUGUACGACAAAAGGAGGUAUCCAAACUUUGCGUACCUCGAGCUUCUCAUCCAUGAUCCACUGUCCAGGAAUAACUCCAGUUACACUUUUUGAGGAAAAUGGUGACAGGUCACCACCAUUUCUUCAAAUAAGAUAACGGGUGGAACCCAAAUAGGUCACCUGGAAAAAUUUUAAAAUAAAAAGUUAUAAAUAAUGAUGAUGAUGAUGAUAAGAGAGCAACCAAAUCAUACAUCAGAGUGCAGCAGAUAAUUGAAACUACAAACUCCCACUAGUUUGAGCUCCAGAGCACUCUAUGC